UCAAACUGGCCGGUGCGCAUAAGCAGCCAGGUGCAGGGAUGUGGGUACCGGGAUCCAGGGGAACCUACCCUCCCAAAGGCAUGGAACCCUGUGCUAGCGCCUCCGCCCUCUCCCACCGCGCUCCCCUCUGUCCCCGUUAUCCAGGGCAGCCUGGACAUCGUGACCUGCACCGUGGCCGUGAGAAGAGACGACCCAGAGAGAGCUCGUGCUGCAUGCAGCCCUGGGCCUCAGAGUUGAUGAGCUGUGUGCCUCUGCUCAGGAGCCCCUGA
Molecule: long non-coding RNA, 269 nt
Filed under: Fukomys damarensis (Damara mole-rat)
Lineage: Eukaryota; Metazoa; Chordata; Mammalia; Rodentia; Bathyergidae
Description: lncRNA (ENSFDAG00000032931.1)
Source: RNAcentral